GAUGAACGCUGGCGGCGUGCCUAAUACAUGCAAGUCGAGCGAACAGACGAGGAGCUUGCUCCUCUGACGUUAGCGGCGGACGGGUGAGUAACACGUGGAUAACCUACCUAUAAGACUGGGAUAACUUCGGGAAACCGGAGCUAAUACCGGAUAAUAUAUUGAACCGCAUGGUUCAAUAGUGAAAGACGGUCUUGCUGUCACUUAUAGAUGGAUCCGCGCUGCAUUAGCUAGUUGGUAAGGUAACGGCUUACCAAGGCAACGAUGCGUAGCCGACCUGAGAGGGUGAUCGGCCACACUGGAACUGAGACACGGUCCAGACUCCUACGGGAGGCAGCAGUAGGGAAUCUUCCGCAAUGGGCGAAAGCCUGACGGAGCAACGCCGCGUGAGUGAUGAAGGUCUUCGGAUCGUAAAACUCGGUUAUUAGGGAAGAACAUAUGUGUAAGUAACUAUGCACGUCUUGACGGUACCUAAUCAGAAAGCCACGGCUAACUACGUG
This 497-nucleotide ribosomal RNA is filed under the name uncultured bacterium. RNAcentral describes it as "partial 16S ribosomal RNA". It matches the Rfam family "Bacterial small subunit ribosomal RNA", at positions 28 to 507 of the family's 1533-position model. The record is from RNAcentral.